GGAGAGGUACCCAGAGCGGCCUAAUGGGGUCCGGGUCACCGGAAGGGCUUCGGCCCACGCAGGUUCGAAUCCUGCCCUCUCCG
RNAcentral lists this transfer RNA (83 nucleotides) under Salinispora sp. H7-4. Its description in RNAcentral is "tRNA-OTHER". It matches the Rfam family "tRNA". From Rfam's summary of the family: Transfer RNA (tRNA) molecules are approximately 80 nucleotides in length. Their secondary structure includes four short double-helical elements and three loops (D, anti-codon, and T loops). RNAcentral also lists the same sequence under 1 other name. Lineage: Bacteria; Bacillati; Actinomycetota; Actinomycetes; Micromonosporales; Micromonosporaceae. The record is from RNAcentral.